This 915-nucleotide long non-coding RNA is filed under the name Felis catus (domestic cat). RNAcentral describes it as "lncRNA (ENSFCAG00000051738.1)". The record is from RNAcentral. Lineage: Eukaryota; Metazoa; Chordata; Mammalia; Carnivora; Felidae.
CAUCACCGAGUCCCGGGCCGCCGCAGUCGCCUCGUCGCACGACUCGAGAACUCCCGCGCGGCCACGGGUCUCGCGAGAGCCGCACGGCCUCCGUCCAGCCUCCGGAGCCUGCCUUCCGCGGGCGGCUGCGGCCGCGCAGCUCGGAGCGGCGGUAGGGGAGCGUGUGCGAGGGAGCCGGGUAACUGGAAAGGGGUCCGAACAGAACCCCAAGUGGCCUCCGCCGUCGAGAACGAGAUAGCUCCCCUAUUGUGUAGGGAGGUCCUACGGUUUUCGGAAGGAAAACGUGUCUUUCACUAGGGAGAAGCCGCUGCGGGCUUGAGGGGAAAGCACGGACGGAAUAACGUGUGUCAAGAUUGAUUAUCUUAGGUGGAGGAGAAAAAAAAUACUGAGGAUCUCAAAAGAUAAAGAGGUUGGACUUAAUCCUACAGCAAAAGAUGUUUGUAAUCCAAUGGACACACAAAAAUGCACUGAGGAAAAAAGUCGCAAAGGUCGCGUGAAAUGCCGGGAAGUUAGACACGAGGCAACGAGAAGAAGACUGUUCUGCAAGGGUUGCGUAACACUUCCACGUCAUGGGGAGAGUGACCUGUGCUAUAGUGAAGUGCACUUAAGGAAUUGCACUGAUGCUGGGAGAGGAUUUCUGACCAUAGGGACUUCCUGAAUCUCCUUCAGAGAAUACCACGUAAGUGUUGCCGGCUACCACGCCAGAGACCAGCUCGGUUUAAUAGCAGCUACUCUGCCACAGUGACAGGGGCUUUGUCGAAUUGCAGAAGCUAUCUAGAAGGCACUUAAAGAUGGUGUACAUUCCACUUCUUUGAAAGGUCAGCUUGGGAAACCUGCCUAGGAGAGAUAGUAAGGAUAAACAUAUCCUCCCAGCUCUGUAAUAUCGAGAAGCCAGCAUGGUUCUCUAGAGGUAAG